AGGGGCGUAGCUCAAUUGGUAGAGUAGCGGUCUCCAAAACCGUUGGUUGCAGGUUCGAGCCCUGCCGCCCCUG
This 73-nucleotide transfer RNA is filed under the name Minisyncoccota bacterium. RNAcentral's name for it is "tRNA-Trp". It matches the Rfam family "tRNA". From Rfam's summary of the family: Transfer RNA (tRNA) molecules are approximately 80 nucleotides in length. Their secondary structure includes four short double-helical elements and three loops (D, anti-codon, and T loops). Further hydrogen bonds mediate the characteristic L-shaped molecular structure. tRNAs have two regions of fundamental functional importance: the anti-codon, which is responsible for specific mRNA codon recognition, and the 3' end, to which the tRNAs corresponding amino acid is attached (by aminoacyl-tRNA synthetases). tRNAs cope with the degeneracy of the genetic code in two manners: having more than one tRNA (with a specific anti-codon) for a particular amino acid; and 'wobble' base-pairing, i.e. permitting non-standard base-pairing at the 3rd anti-codon position. Lineage: Bacteria; Bacillati; Minisyncoccota. The record is from RNAcentral.